GCCAGCAGCCAUAUCACACUGCAACUCACAACUGGCAACCCACUGAAGCUAAGCAGGUGUGAGUACCUGGUCAAUACUUGGAUGGGAGACCUCCUGGGAAAAACUAAGGUUGCUGCUGGAA
Molecule: ribosomal RNA, 121 nt
Filed under: Lepisosteus oculatus (spotted gar)
Lineage: Eukaryota; Metazoa; Chordata; Actinopteri; Semionotiformes; Lepisosteidae
Source: RNAcentral